GGCCUGGUGGUCUAGUAGUAUGAUUCCUUCUUAGGGCGUAUCUGCAAUUUGGAGGAGGUCCCGGGUUCAAUUCCCGGCCAGGCCC
Molecule: non-coding RNA, 85 nt
Organism: Gelatoporia subvermispora B
Lineage: Eukaryota; Fungi; Basidiomycota; Agaricomycetes; Polyporales; Gelatoporiaceae
Source: the annotation of a GenBank genome assembly